GAUGAACGCUGGCGGCGUGCCUAAUACAUGCAAGUCGAGCGAACAGACGAGGAGCUUGCUCCUCUGACGUUAGCGGCGGAAGGGUGAGUAACACGUGGAUAACCUACCUAUAAGACUGGGAUAACUUCGGGAAACCGGAGCUAAUACCGGAUAAUAUAUUGAACCGCAUGGUUCAAUAGUGAAAGACGGUUUUGCUGUCACUUAUAGAUGGAUCCGCGCCGCAUUAGCUAGUUGGUAAGGUAACGGCUUACCAAGGCGACGAUGCGUAGCCGACCUGAGAGGGUGAUCGGCCACACUGGAACUGGGACACGGUCCAGACUCCUACGGGAGGCAGCAGUAGGGAAUCUUCCGCAAUGGGCGAAAGCUUGACGGAGCAACGCCGCGUGAGUGAUGAAGGUCUUCGGAUCGUAAAACUCUGUUAUUAGGGAAGAACAAAUGUGUAAGUAACUAUGCACGUCUUGACGGUACCUAAUCAGAAAGCCACGGCUAACUACGUG
RNAcentral lists this ribosomal RNA (497 nucleotides) under uncultured bacterium. RNAcentral's name for it is "partial 16S ribosomal RNA". It matches the Rfam family "Bacterial small subunit ribosomal RNA", at positions 28 to 507 of the family's 1533-position model. The record is from RNAcentral.